This is a non-coding RNA of Shewanella baltica OS195, 189 nucleotides long. NCBI's taxonomy places the organism in Bacteria, Pseudomonadati, Pseudomonadota, Gammaproteobacteria, Alteromonadales, Shewanellaceae. The record is from Rfam.
UUAUCCGCGAGGAUUGCUCUGAAGGAAGCCGCUAGCAAAUUUAUGAGCUGAUAAACAAGAACAUCACAUGAGGCGUAGACUAGAGGUGAGUUGGCAGAGCUUCCCCACGCAGUAUGGGAACAAGACGAUGAAACCACGUGAUCAAAUAGCCACCAUAAAUGAUGCCGCAGUGCAGAGAAAGUUCAUGUU